Molecule: long non-coding RNA, 270 nt
Organism: Cyprinus carpio (common carp)
Lineage: Eukaryota; Metazoa; Chordata; Actinopteri; Cypriniformes; Cyprinidae
Gene: aclyb
Exons: 3
Source: RefSeq, a predicted model, not a curated record
CGCAGGACCAUCCAUGGCUGCUAACAGAAAGGCUGGUUGUGAAGCCAGAUCAGCUGAUCAAACGCAGGGGGAAGCUGGGAUUGGUGGCAGUUGACCUGAACCUUGAGGUUGGUCCAGGAAUGGCUGAAAUCUAAUCUGAUGACAGAAAUCACAAUUGGGAAGGCAAAAGGGAUCUUAAAGAACUUCCUCAUUGAGCCGUUUGUGCCUCACUUACAGGUAUUACAAAUUCAGUUCAAUUUUAUCUUUAUCAGUAUGUUUUUGAGGGUCAUU